GCCAGAGUGGUGAAAUGGUAUACACGGCGGAUUCAAAAUCCNCGGAUUCAAAAUCCGCUGCCUUCGGGCGUAGGGGUUCAAGUCCCCUCUCUGGUACCA
Molecule: transfer RNA, 99 nt
Filed under: Sulfurimonas sp.
Lineage: Bacteria; Pseudomonadati; Campylobacterota; Epsilonproteobacteria; Campylobacterales; Sulfurimonadaceae
Description: tRNA-Leu
Rfam family: tRNA
About the family: Transfer RNA (tRNA) molecules are approximately 80 nucleotides in length. Their secondary structure includes four short double-helical elements and three loops (D, anti-codon, and T loops).
Source: RNAcentral